GUGAGGAAUUUUCCGCAAUGGGCGAAAGCCUGACGGAGCAAUGCCGCGUGAAGGAUGAAGGCCUAUGGGUUGUAAACUUCUUUUCUCAGAAAAGAAUUAUGACGGUAUCUGAGGAAUAAGCAUCGGCUAACUCUGUGCCAGCAGCCGCGGUAAGACAGAGGAUGCAAGCGUUAUCCGGAAUGCUUGGGCGUAAAGCGUCUGUAGGUUGUUUAAAAAGUAUUCUGUCAAAGAUUAGGGCUUAACCCUAGAUAGGCAGAAUAAACUUUUAAGCUAGAGUUUGUGAGAGGCAGAGGGAAUUCCCGGUGGAGCGGUGAAAUGCGUAGAUAUCGGGAGGAACACCAAAGGCGAAGGCACUCUGCUGGGCCAAUACUAACACUGAGAGACGAAAGCGAGGGGAGCAAAUGGGAUUAGAAACCCGAGUAGUCC
Molecule: ribosomal RNA, 426 nt
Filed under: uncultured bacterium
Lineage: Bacteria
Description: partial 16S ribosomal RNA
Rfam family: Bacterial small subunit ribosomal RNA
Source: RNAcentral